This 493-nucleotide ribosomal RNA is filed under the name uncultured bacterium. Its description in RNAcentral is "bacterial SSU rRNA". It matches the Rfam family "Bacterial small subunit ribosomal RNA", at positions 28 to 508 of the family's 1533-position model. The record is from RNAcentral.
GACGAACGCUGGCGGCGUGCCUAACACAUGCAAGUCGAACGGGACCGGGGGCAACUCCGGUUCAGUGGCAGAUGGGUGCGUAACACGUGAGGAACUUGUCCGUCGGCGGGGGAUAGCCGGCCCAACGGCCGGGUAAUACCGCAUCCGCUCGCUCGGGGGCAUCCCUGAGCGAGGAAAGCAGCCGCAAGGUUGCGCCGGCGGAGAGUCUCGCGGCCUAUCAGCUUGUUGGCGGGGUAAUGGCCCACCAAGGCGACGACGGGUAGCUGGUCUGAGAGGAUGGCCAGCCACAUUGGGACUGAGACACGGCCCAGACUCCUACGGGAGGCAGCAGUGGGGAAUAUUGCGCAAUGGUCGCAAGACUGACGCAGCGACGCCGCGUGUGGGAUGACGGCCUUCGGGUUGUAAACCACUGUCGGGGGGGACGAAUACAGGGCUUCGAAUAGGAGACCCUGGGUGACGGUACCUCCAAAGGAAGCACCGGCUAACUCCGUGC